UCCAAUAUCACCCAAGCACCCAGUAGGGUUUAAUGCUUUUUUACCCAGACACUGUAGGGCUUUGUACAAAUUAGUACUUCAAUCAAGCUCUACUAACUUCAAUCCACACUCUAUUCCCGCUCCUUAUAACAGAGAAUGGGGGGAAGAAGAAAUUCAUCGACAAGAAUAAAGCCUCAACUUUCCAGUUAUUUGCACGCGACUCCUCCGAUCCCAAUUUCGACGGCACUGACCAAGUUUUCGUGCGAGUCGACAACAAUCCCUACUCAAUAGACAACUUCUUGGCCGAAAACAAAUGCUCCAGCAACAGCCGCUUCGAUGACGAUCCUAAUUCAAUUUUCGCCGACGCGCCGGAUGAUACUGAGGACGGUGACGAUGGUAGUUAUGGUAAUUACUUGCACUUUGGAGGUGGAUUUUUUUGUGAAACAUCGUCGGGGCCUUUGCCAGAGGAUGUCAGGAGAGAGAUUUUGGAAUUAGGGUUUCCUGGUGAUGGUUAUAAUUAUUUACUUCACUUAAGAGAUUAAAAGUAACGUUAACGGCUCGGGUUUUUAUCAAAAUCCCAAAGCCAAGCUUCAUCAGCUUCCUCAUGAUAUCAAGGCUUAUGAUGCAUCGAGAGUAAAAGUUUCAGAAUUGAAAAGUGAGGAUAGGAAUGAUAAGUCAAUUUAUAAUGUGGCGUCGAAGAGUGUUGGUGUUAGAGUUCAGAAAGUGGUUGAUCCUGAAGUAGCGGCAUUGCUGGAUGAUAGUGAUUUGUCGCGGUUUGGUUCUGAUGCUGAGGACUUGGAGGAGGAUUUUGUUGUUCGUGCGAAUAUACCUGAGGGAGGGGAGGAUUUGGGAGCUGAUGUUGAGGGAUCGGAGGUUGUUAAUGAAGUUACCUGUGGAUAUGUUAGGUAUGGUGGCGAUCGAGAAAAUGUGUUGGGAUGCGGAGGGGUAGAGAAAGCAAUGAAUGCUCUUGUGGGGGCAAGAGGUUAUCUUGGAGAUGAGAAACAGCGGGUUCGUCGUCCUUUGGAUGAGCAGUUUGAUUCGGUGAGACUCUACUCCCUGGGUAGUUUAUUUCUGAUUUGAUCUGCAUUUUCAUAUGAACUCGUUUUUUUUAAAAUUAAUUUUCAUGUCAUGGCAGCUAGUCAUAAAAUUUUAUUCUGUUAUAUGCCAUAUGUGAGCGGCCAGAGAGAACCAUCGAUCGUAAUUGUUUGACCUGUUAGUUCUUAAAGAUCACUUAGGAUGUCAUUGUUCUGAGUUUGGCAUGACCUUAUUUGUUUGAAAAUCAUCAAAGGGAAACAUUUUUAACAAGAAAAGGUGCUGCAUACUCUGUUCAUCCUUGUUUCCCAUGGAGCAUGAAGCUGUUGCAGUUUCUUUUCGUAUGUAUCCGAGUAACAAGUUUUGAUGUCUUUCCGCUACAAAGGUUAUUAUUAAUGCCAUACCUUAGGUAAAAUUGUUUAGGUUUUUGGAAGAUAUACUUUGUAGAUGGACCUAUGAUGAGCUACAAAGCCAUGGCUAGUUGGCUCCCAUUUUGUUGGAAAACAUGGUCUCAAUCAAUGUUAUAGAUCAUGGACUAUUUGGGUUGUAAUCUGUAAUCCAAGCCGAGCAGCAAUGGGAAUCCGUGGAUGACUUGUGCCGGACCUUUAGUGAGAGUUAAAAGGAGAGGUAGAGAGGCAGGAGCUAGUGGCCAGCCAGAAAACCAGUGAGAUGACCGUUUUUAGCUAAUCUGAUACUAUUAUUGUUAUAAAAUAUAGCUUGUAUAUUAGAUAGUUAAAGAGAAAUUUAUUUUAUGGUAA
This is a long non-coding RNA of Populus nigra (black poplar), 1769 nucleotides long. RefSeq lists it as uncharacterized. Lineage: Eukaryota; Viridiplantae; Streptophyta; Magnoliopsida; Malpighiales; Salicaceae. The record is from RefSeq and is a predicted model, not a curated record. The transcript is spliced from 2 exons.